UCUCCGUUGGUGAACCAGCGGAGGGAUCAUUAUCGAGUUUAUAACUCCCAAACCCUAUGUGAACUUACCACUUGUUGCUUCGGCGCGCGCUUCGGCGCCGCCGAGGACACUUAAACUCUUUGUUUUAUAAGCAUUUCUGAGUGGCCGAAAGGCAAAAUACAAAUGAAUCAAAACUUUCAACAACGGAUCUCUUGGUUCUG
Molecule: unclassified non-coding RNA, 200 nt
Filed under: plant metagenome
Description: partial contains small subunit ribosomal RNA, internal transcribed spacer 1, and 5.8S ribosomal RNA
Source: RNAcentral